AAGCCUAGGCACUCCUCGUCCUAGGCAUCCUCCAGUCCCUGGCAUGCCCCAACUCCUACCAGUGGCUCCAUGAGGAAGAGAGGUAGGACUGAAGCGAGGAAUCAUGGAGGACCCCAACCACUGCCAGGUAUUCAGAACACAUUUUACUUCCAUCAUGGCUGCCCCUUGUUUAAUUAUAGUGGUGACUUUGAAGAACAUUCUGGAAUACAUUUUAUCGUCCUAAAAGUCUUCAUUGAGGAAACCUCCAACCUAUCACAUAUGGCCCAAGAGGAGACUGGUGACUCCCUCAGUGAUAGCGAUUGGGAAAACCGAGGCCUUGCCAGCAGCCAGGUGGAUGGGGAGGUGUCUAGCCCACGCUUUCAAAGUAACACUCUUGAAGCACCUAAGUGGCAAGAGAGACUGGCCUGUCCUGGAGAAAGCUGCCAAGAGCCAGUACACAGUCACAAUUCUAGGCUUGGCCACAACACUGUAAGUUAAGAACGCACUGCAGCUGAGGAGGCCUAGGGCUCUUGGUUCAGAAAAACCUCUUGGAGGAGAGAACAUUGCUUUAAAGGAGGCUGAAAUCUCCUCCCCUCGUUCCCACCUGGAUCUGGAAACCAACGGAUUCCUAUGCGCUGCACGGCACAGCUGCGAGCCCUCCCAGGAGGGUGCGGGAGGCCCGAUCCCGGUGUCACCCACUGGCUCUGUGAUCUCUGCUAAGCUUCUUCAUUCUUCUGCUCUGUCACAUGCAAACCAAAUGCUCCCGGAGCCACCCUGGCUUCUCCAUCGCAGAGAGGCAGCAUCAGAGCUGGAAGCUGUUCUUGGACUGAGCGCUGCAGGUCCCUUCUUCCUGACAGUGUCUCAGAUUUCUGCAGGAAUGCCAUAGUUACCAGCACACGAGUAAGGACCAGACCAGGGUAACCAGCCAUCCAGCGUGUCCAGGCGUUUCCUGGUUGCACCACUGAGUGUUCUGAGCCCCGGAACCAUCCAAUCAAUCACCUUGCCUGCACUCCCCUUGGCUGUGAGAAGGGGAGCUGGUGGUGUGUCCUCCAUCCCUCAUAUCUUCUCCCCUCUAAUCGAGACUGAGGGUGGCUCCUCUGCCAGGGGUGACGGAAAGGUAGAAAAGACCCAUUUGAGUUUAACAGAAAGAGGGAAGAGGAACCUUCAAGAUGUCAAAAAGCCGGCCUCUCCUAGCUUCAAGUUUAACCAGGUUGGGAUUUCUGGCCUGGCCCAGACCACCGAGGUCCUCAGCUGGGGCCCGCUUUUGGUUCCUGUCUUGCUGAGUUUCCAAGUGGGGCCAGGUGCGGAGAUGCCCCCUUAAAUGCCUUCUCGCGGUCACAUACCUGAUUAACCUUUCUCCAGAUGCCCUGCUUUUGCAGCCAGGGCAACAGGCUGUGCGCCCACACAUGUUCUCCCCUAGCCAGCACCUUCACCUGCCACUGGGAUGCUAGGCCCAUGCACUCACAAACGGUACCCAGAGCUUAAGCAAAACACCUGCUUGGGCUAUGCAGGGAGGCACGCUCACACAGACACACACACAGACACAAGGAUACAGGGAAGAAGGCCUGGGAAAUGGUACAGGCCGACAGAAGAUCCCUGGAGACACCAGGGCAUGUGUGCUCAGGGGGUGGCCAGGGACGUGUACACAGCACACACCCCUCUCCCCAAGCCUCCCCAGAACUCCAGUCUGGCAUCAGUUUGGGAUUAGGCCUUGAACUUCAAGAGAUAUCCCCCUCCCUCUCCCAACCAGGCAGGAGCCUUUGGGUGGCCAGACCUGUGUGGGUACCAGGGCCUUCUGGCCCGGCUCCCCGGGAGGACGGGCAGGCCCAGGCGUGCUGCACGAGAGAGCAGGCGUGUGGAGGGCGGCUCUUACACAAUCCCAUCCGGGCUCGGCAGGGCGGGAGAGUUGAAAGGGCCCUGGCAGCUCCCCAGGCCCUGAUGCCUGGGCAAGGAAACCACAGCCUUAAACUCCUGGGUUUCUAAAGGCGGUUCUUUUGGAGGCUUGUUCCUCUCAGACUCUGUCCUUCCUCUGAGGCCAAAGGGGCUGCUGAGGAUGUCAGGCACCGAGUCACAGGCUUCCAGAAACUCAACUCGGCUGGUGCCCUCCCUUCCCACCAAGUAUAGGAAGAAUUUGCUGAAGACAUUGUUCCUUUGUCCAGAGUCCUGCGAAAACUGUGAAGCCAACCCACUUAGGUACAGAUGGCAGCUGGAAAGUGGAAUCCUGAGAACACUGACAGCUUUCCUGGUUGUGCCAGACCCUAUUUUUAAGCACUUUCUGCAUAUGAACUCGUUCAGUUCCCACCAGAACCCGUGGAAGGUAGAUACUAUUCUUGUCAUCUCCAUUUUUCAAAGGUGGGAAGAUAACUCUCCCAAAUUCACACGGAGAGCAUAUGGCAGAGCUGGGAUUUGAACCUAGGCAGCUUUACUAGCAUUUAUAUUCUUUCUGGUCUCUUGGGUAUCAAAAUUGUGAGAUGACCAAUUAGGAAUAUGUUGGAAAUGGCUUUGGAGCAAGAAUUGCAAACUUAAGUGCCUACAGGGUGAGGCAACUGAAAAAAAUGUGUGCCCCAGGCCAGCAGAGAAAGGCCUGUCGUCCAGCUGAGAGUGUGCAGGCCAUACAGAGGUGUCCCUCGUGCAAAUUCCCUAAAACCAAAACUAGCCUGGAGGCCAAUUGGGUCCCCUGGCUUAAAGUAGCUCUAACCUAAGCCAGUGCGCCUCAGGCUGUAAACGACCAGGGACAGGACAUGUGGGCUCCCAAGGCAUUACCAGUUUGUCCUGGGGGUGGGGGUGGGGUGUUGAAAGGUCACAGAAGCAGCAAAGGGCAGAGAGGCACCAGUGAGUCAAAGUGACAGGGGAAGGGGAUAACAACCUGUUCAGAAAGAGCAAAGGAGGUGAGGGGUUGCCUGUCACUGGAGAUACGGGGCUUUUUCUCUUUUUGGCUGUGCUGAGUCCUCACUGCUGCCCUCAGGCUUUCUAUGGCGGCAGCAAGUGGGGGCUCCACAGCAUGGGUGCUAGGCACAUGCGCUUCAGCUGUUGCGGCUGGUGGGCUCCAGAGCACUGGCUCAGUAGUUGUGGCACCUGGGCUUAGUUUCUCCACAUGAGAGCUUCCCAGACCAGGGAUUGAACCCAUGGCAGGAGGAUUCCUAAUCACUGGACCAUCAGGGAAGUCCUGGAAUGAGGCUCUCCAUUAGCCUAAAUAACGCCUUCACUUACGAGGUGUCAAAUACCACAUGCCUUCAAAUACCACAUGCCUAAGGCAGGAAGGAGGUUCAAGGCCAUAGCUGAUUCAGCGCUCAUUUAACAACAAAGAUUCCUCCACUCUAAGGUUUUAGCCUCAACUUGGUCACUGAUUCACUUGGUUAUCCCAAGUUCCUUGCUAUAAUCCCUUGGUCCGCUUUCCUGACCUGUUAAAAAGGAGAGUGAUAGCAUAUUAGAGAUUGAACCUAUAAAUCUGCCGAUUUUCAGUUGGUUUUGACAUUCAAAAAAACAUCAGUUUCAUAAAAUCCAACCCUAUAAUUGUCCUACCUACUUUGGAAAGUGCGGAGAAUACCUAAAAAUGCUUGAAGCAUGAGCCAGAGGCUAACUGCCACCUACACAGCAGGAACCCAGUGUGUGCUCAGUGAAGGGAACGCUGGUUCCAGAACCAGGUGGGCAUGAGCCUUACUUACCCACCUAGCCAAGCCAGCUGUACAGGGACAGCGUCAGGCAAAGCAGUUCUUCGAGGGAAAUUCACAUUCACCCAGUUCCUCCCAGGAUCUGCCC
Molecule: long non-coding RNA, 3738 nt
Organism: Bos taurus (domestic cattle)
Lineage: Eukaryota; Metazoa; Chordata; Mammalia; Artiodactyla; Bovidae
Source: Ensembl